RNAcentral lists this unclassified non-coding RNA (529 nucleotides) under Hevea brasiliensis (rubber tree). Lineage: Eukaryota; Viridiplantae; Streptophyta; Magnoliopsida; Malpighiales; Euphorbiaceae. The record is from RNAcentral.
AAAUAAUAAUAAUAAUAAAAAAAACACAAGUCAAAGGAGACCCAGAAGCAAAACUCCAUGGAAAGAUACUCUUUUGACCUUCAAAAUCAUACUGGGUCAACAUUAUUAAAAGUUCAAAGGAUAGACACACUUCUUUCAUCUUCAAUAUAUAAAAUCAAGAAACGCAGUCAAAAACAAAUUUUUAAUAUAAUAUCUAGAAUGCAAAGAAAACAGCUCAACACCUAACCUAAGACUUGGAAACUGCUAAAAAAAAAUCCGAAACCUAACAAAUAACAAUGAAUAAAAACAAAUUCAAAGCUACCCAUUUUCAGCAUUGCUCACCAAUGGCCUAUGGUUAUGGAGCAAGAAAAGAAAGGAGAGGAAGAAGUGGAGUAGAAGGAAGGAAACCACCAUCUUCAUUGCCAUUUGCCACUCCCCUUUUGAGAUCCAAUAUGACCAAUUUUGCUUUUGAAAAGUCUGCUAGACACUAGGCUUUACUUUCCCCAGAUAAAAUCAUAAGCUGAGCUCCCAUCUCCAUCGAAGAAAUUUU